UACGGGGGGGGCAAGCGUUGUUCGGAAUUACUGGGCGUAAAGGGCGCGUAGGCGGCCUUCUAAGUCGGACGUGAAAUCCCUCGGCUCAACCGAGGAACUGCGUCCGAUACUGGAGGGCUUGAAUCCGGGAGAGGGAUGUGGAAUUCCAGGUGUAGCGGUGAAAUGCGUAGAUAUCUGGAGGAACACCGGUGGCGAAGGCGGCAUCCUGGACCGGUAUUGACGCUGAGGCGCGAAAGCUAGGGGAGCAAACGGG
RNAcentral lists this ribosomal RNA (253 nucleotides) under uncultured bacterium. Its description in RNAcentral is "partial 16S ribosomal RNA". It matches the Rfam family "Bacterial small subunit ribosomal RNA", at positions 524 to 776 of the family's 1533-position model. The record is from RNAcentral.